Etheostoma spectabile (orangethroat darter) is the source of this 139-nucleotide long non-coding RNA. RefSeq lists it as uncharacterized. The record is from RefSeq and is a predicted model, not a curated record. Lineage: Eukaryota; Metazoa; Chordata; Actinopteri; Perciformes; Percidae. The transcript has 3 exons.
AGGCCUCAGGUUGGCAUGGAUUGUUUUUGUUGCCGUUUGUAGACCCGGGACUGUCUACAGAGACUGCGUUUUUUUUUACAGUGUGUUCCGGGGACAGACAGCUAGCGGACAGUAAUGAGAUGUUUUUUACAGUGUGAAC